GAUGAAGACGUAGCGAAAUGCGAUAAGUAGUGUGAAUUGCAGAAUUCAGUGAAUCAUCGAAUCUUUGAACGCACAUUGCGCCCCUUGGUAUCCCGAGGGGCAUGCCUGUUCGAGCGUCAUUUCACCACUCAAGCCUGGCUUGGUGUUGGGCGACGUCCUCUUUGGGGACGCGCCUCGAAACGCUCGGCGGCGUGGCACCGGCUUUAAGCGUAGCAGAAUCUUUCGCUUUGGAAGUCGGGGCCCCGUCUGCCGGAAGACCUGCUCGCAAGGUUGACCUCGGAUCAGGCAGGGAUACCCGCUGAACUUAAGCAUAUCAAUAAGCGGAGGA
Molecule: unclassified non-coding RNA, 328 nt
Filed under: soil metagenome
Description: partial contains 5.8S ribosomal RNA, internal transcribed spacer 2, and large subunit ribosomal RNA
Rfam family: 5.8S ribosomal RNA (bases 1-119)
Source: RNAcentral